GUGCCAGCAGCCGCGGUAAUACCGGCAGCCCGAGUGAUGGCCGAUCUUAUUGGGCCUAAAGCGUCCGUAGCUGGCUGCGCAAGUCCAUCGGGAAAUCCACUCGCUCAACGAGUGGCCGUCCGUCGGAAACUGCACACCUUGGGACCGGAAGGCUCGAAGGGUACGUCCGGGGUAGGAGUGAAAUCCUAUAAUCCCGCACGGACCACCGAUGGCGAAAGCACUUCGAGAAAACGGAUCCGACAGUGAGGGACGAAAGCUAAGAUCUCGAACCGGAUUAGAUACCCGGGUAGUCC
RNAcentral lists this ribosomal RNA (293 nucleotides) under uncultured bacterium. RNAcentral's name for it is "partial 16S ribosomal RNA". It matches the Rfam family "Archaeal small subunit ribosomal RNA", at positions 455 to 747 of the family's 1478-position model. The record is from RNAcentral.